GGGGAUGCUUAGGUUUCGACAGGGAUAAUGAACUAUGAAAGGCAGGCCGAAGGUACGCGUUAAGUACAAACAAAAAUAUCUGGAAACAGAAAUCAAUUAGCUUUCGCUUAAUAGAAUUGCGAGCUGCUUCUUUUAUCUUUUUCCUACGGGGAUAUAAGAAGCUCACUUAGUAGGAUAUAUUCUUGUAUUGUCUAGCUAUAAGAAUGAAUAUUAAUAGACUUAAUAAUAUAGAGUUUGUUAGUUGACUUAGUAUUAGGAUUUUCAAUAACUGACUAAGCUUGUAGAAUUUUAUAGGAAUUUAUUUUUGGACAGGAGUUCGAUUCUCCUCAUCUCCACCA
Molecule: transfer-messenger RNA, 338 nt
Filed under: Bacilli
Lineage: Bacteria; Bacillati; Bacillota
Also listed under: 2 other names
Description: CAKOQQ01 sp934101425 Standard tmRNA
Rfam family: transfer-messenger RNA
About the family: Bacterial tmRNA, also known as 10Sa RNA or SsrA, is named for its dual tRNA and mRNA-like properties. Its role is to liberate the mRNA from a stalled ribosome.
Source: RNAcentral